RNAcentral lists this ribosomal RNA (436 nucleotides) under uncultured Oscillospiraceae bacterium. Its description in RNAcentral is "partial 16S ribosomal RNA". It matches the Rfam family "Bacterial small subunit ribosomal RNA", at positions 341 to 792 of the family's 1533-position model. The record is from RNAcentral. Lineage: Bacteria; Bacillati; Bacillota; Clostridia; Eubacteriales; Oscillospiraceae.
ACGGGAGGCAGCAGUGGGGGAUAUUGCACAAUGGGGGAAACCCUGAUGCAGCGACGUCGCGUGAGGGAAGACGGUUUUCGGAUUGUAAACCUCUGGCUUUGGGGACGAAACAAAUGACGGUACCCAAGGAGGAAGCCACGGCUAACUACGUGCCAGCAGCCGCGGUAAUACGUAGGUGGCAAGCGUUGUCCGGAAUGACUGGGUGUAAAGGGAGCGUAGGCGGGUAAUCAAGUCAAGUGUCAAAUCUAUCGGCUUAACCGGUAGUCGCGCUUGAAACUGAUUAUCUUGAGUGAAGUAGAGGCAGGCGGAAUUCCUAGUGUAGCGGUGAAAUGCGUAGAUAUUAGGAGGAACACCAGUGGCGAAGGCGGCCUGCUGGGCUUUAACUGACGCUGAGGCUCGAAAGCAUGGGUAGCAAACAGGAUUAGAUACCCUGGUA